UAGAAGGCCAGCUAUGUCACAAUGCCAGUGUCAUUCACCUAACUUCAUCUCAUCAAAUUUUAGGCAUUUUAUCUCACAUUAUCACAAAAAGAAGGUUCCAGUAUUUGGUCCUUGGAAUGUAGCAAAGAAAGAACAUUUAGAGGCUACUGAUUCCAGGAAGUGGUGGUCCCCCAAACCACAGCAUUUGAGUCAACUGUAUUUUUUCUACAAAACUGGAUAAGAUAUAUGUGUCAUUUUAAGCAUUUAGGAAGUAAAGUCUAAGAAGUUGUGUAUGUGUCACUGUGUUUAAAGAAGUCCAUGUGAAAAAUUCAUAUCUAAUGACUUUCAUGGGGCCUCAAAAUCUCUAGGAAUACACAUCUGUAACUGCUCAGACAUGAUAUGGAUAUACUUAAAGUCUGAAUAAGUCUGCGUCACCUGCUCGGCCUCCGGAGCUGGCCGCGCACACGGAGGAAGCCCAGCCGAGGCACAGUCAGGACUGGGGCGGGAGGGUGCUCCGCAAACAAUCUCUGUUACUAACAUUCUGGAAGGCUGCUGACAGGUUUUCCUUUUUUUUUUUUUUUUUUUUUUUUUUUUUGCCCUACCACCCUCCCUUUUUAAUAAUUGUAUAUAAUCAGUAGUUUUGUUUUACCGGCUUCAUCUUCUAAACUGGUGGGCCCUGUAGUUCAUUCCCGUUGUUAGACUUUUGCCCCUUACAAGUGUACCCAACCUGCAAUAAACCCUUCUUGAGAAAAAAAAAAAAAAAAAAUCUGAAAAAAUAAAGAAAGAGUAGGAGAGAAAGAAAAGUAGAGAAAGGAAAAGACACAUGAGCAUGAUCCUUUGAGUCAGGAAGAGACAGAGACUACUUGCAGGAAUUAUUUGGACCUCCAGAAAGUCCUUCACAGGUGGAGGGUAGAAUCUCCAAGCAGAUCUGUCACUCUUGGGUUGACAUAACUACUGCUGUCAUCCUCUCCUUUGGGUCUAGUUUAACCAGGGGGCAUUAAUAGUCAAACAGUAGUCCCUUCAUCUUAGUGUUCGUGAGACCUCUCUUCCUGCCAUGUUAGCAUUUUGGUCUGUGAUAUUUCCCACUGAUAUAUAAAGAACAUAUUAUAAUAAAAUAAUAACAACAAAAGUUAUUUAAGCAAAAACAUUUCUAUAGUUUAGGGUGAGGAGGAAAUGGUCAGCAAAGAUCAAAGUAAAGGGUGUUUUUCCCACUCAAAUACUCUUAUACUUGAUUUUUCUAAUUUCAUUGUGUAUGUGACCUAGCUGUAUUUCGCUUUUCGUUUUUGUAUGUCCAUGAGCUUAACUCCUAUGUACUUUAAAACAUGUUUUUAAAAAUGGCUUGGUUUAUGAGAGUUUUAUUCCUUACAACAAAAAUUUCCCUAAUUGAACCAUCUCAAGAUUCAUAAGUUUCAACCUCAGAAAAUUUUGUUAUUGGAAAAGUAAUUUGAUGUUUAAGAAUUCCUGAACAAGAGUAAUAACAAUAUCUUACAUUCACAUGGCAUUUUAAAUUUUUAAAAAUGGAUUUUUAAAAACCAUUGUCCAUUAUUGACAAACACAAUUGGUGGCUAACUUCGUAAAUAAAGUUUUAGCAUUUUGGACUAUAGGCAGUCGAAGAGGACGAAUGGCUUAGAAGUUCAGACCCAUUAUUUAGAGUUGGGGAAGCUUAAAUAUCAAAAUGUGACCAUAUACCCUACAUAAAAGGUUGAAGCAGUGGAAACACUACAAUACAGUACAAAUGUCACUAGCCCAUACUACAUUAGCCCACAUGACACUUUAAAUAAAUCACCAUGAGUGGAUGUUGUUUUAGUGAUUUGAGUUACUAGAGAACGCUAGAUUAUUUGGUUUGGGGUACAUUCUAGAAGCAAUGACUAUGGAAAGAACUGGAUCCAUUUCUAGAACUGAAGCAGGACAGCAAGGUUCUUGUCUCACGGACUUGAAAAAUGAAUCUCAUGGUCAAAGGAAGGUGAGUAAAACAAUAGAGUUUUAUUAAUUAUUAUAAUAAUUAAUUAUUAUUAUUAUUAGAAAAAGCUCUCAGGAGUGAGAGGGGUCCCAACCAUAUUGCCAAUGAGGGCUUUUCAUCUCUGGCCUUUUAUUAGGAUUUUACCAGGAAACUUGCCAGUGGUUAGGUCAGUGGCCUGGAACUAGACAGGACACUACUACAUUGUGUGAGAGUCUUUGUCUCUGUGACCUCUGGGAUCUUUAAGUAUAUAUUGCUAAAUCUGGUUAAUCCUUAUAGUGAGCUUUUCCUCUGAGGCCUGAUCAAUUUUUGUGCUUUUUUUUUUUUUUAAUUUUCUGUGUUAUAAUGUAUUUUUUUUUUUAAAAAAAGAUUUUAUUUAUUGAUGAGAAACACAGAGAGAGAG
Molecule: long non-coding RNA, 2339 nt
Organism: Canis lupus familiaris (dog)
Lineage: Eukaryota; Metazoa; Chordata; Mammalia; Carnivora; Canidae
Exons: 4
Source: RefSeq, a predicted model, not a curated record